RNAcentral lists this transfer RNA (104 nucleotides) under Rhodocollybia butyracea. RNAcentral describes it as "tRNA-Gly". It matches the Rfam family "tRNA". Rfam says of the family: Transfer RNA (tRNA) molecules are approximately 80 nucleotides in length. Their secondary structure includes four short double-helical elements and three loops (D, anti-codon, and T loops). Lineage: Eukaryota; Fungi; Basidiomycota; Agaricomycetes; Agaricales; Omphalotaceae. The record is from RNAcentral.
GCAUUAAUGGGGUAGUGGUAAUCUGGGUCGUUGCCAUAGGUACCACCCAGUUCUCUUUAAGCUGAUCUCUCGACCCGCCGGGGGUUCGAUUCCCUCUUAAUGCA